CAAUUGACGGCGUGUGCCAUCCCACACAUCCCGAUCAUGGCGUGUGACACAACUGGAUGUGCGUGCCACGACCAGGACGUGUGGGAUGGCACAUGUUGUCA
This 101-nucleotide microRNA precursor is filed under the name Oryza sativa (Asian cultivated rice). RNAcentral's name for it is "miR2867 stem-loop (osa-MIR2867)". Lineage: Eukaryota; Viridiplantae; Streptophyta; Magnoliopsida; Poales; Poaceae. The record is from miRBase by way of RNAcentral.